GGACUACCGGGGUAUCUAAUCCCGUUUGCUCCCCACGCUUUCGCGCAUCAGCGUCAGUACCGGUCCAGAGGGCCGCCUUCGCCACCGGUGUUCCUCCCAAUAUCUACGCAUUUCACCGCUACACUGGGAAUUCCACCCUCCUCUCCCGGACUCCAGCCUCGCAGUUUCUUCCGCACGUCCUCAGUUGAGCCGAGGGAUUUCACGGAAGACACGCAAGGCCGCCUACGCGCCCUUUACGCCCAAUAAUUCCGAAUAACGCUGGCCCCCUCUGUAUUACCGCGGCGGCUGGCAC
Molecule: ribosomal RNA, 292 nt
Filed under: uncultured Acidobacteriota bacterium
Lineage: Bacteria; Pseudomonadati; Acidobacteriota
Description: uncultured Acidobacteria bacterium partial 16S ribosomal RNA
Source: RNAcentral